CAGAUCCUAUGGCAUUCACCUCAUAAACGAAAUUGUAAACAGUCAAGGCAUAAUCACAUAUUCAUACACAAAUAUAACCCUGUGGGCCAAGCCUGAGGUUACCUCAUAUAUUCAGUAUUCAACCCGAGGCAUAGAGUAAUAGGAACAGAGGCAUACCUGAUGAGAGACCUGUUAAAAUUGGAAGGCAAGGCCGGAUUGGCGAAGUAACGUUUAGGGUUUGCG
RNAcentral lists this long non-coding RNA (222 nucleotides) under Lathyrus oleraceus (garden pea). Its description in RNAcentral is "Pisum sativum (pea) long non-coding RNA (PSAT_LNC028594)". Lineage: Eukaryota; Viridiplantae; Streptophyta; Magnoliopsida; Fabales; Fabaceae. The record is from RNAcentral.